AAGAAGAAGGAUAGUGAGACCAACGCAGUAAUUAGUGGGAGGCAGAGGAGGCCUCAGAUCAGAAGAAAUCCACCACCCCGUCAACAUCAUCAUCAUCAAGUGUCAUCAGUAAUUCUGGUAUUUUCUAAUCAACAAGCAACACCAACUCAACAACAACAACAAAAUCAACAUCAACAACAACAACCGCAACAAAGAACGAACACCUACAACAACA
Molecule: long non-coding RNA, 214 nt
Filed under: Lathyrus oleraceus (garden pea)
Lineage: Eukaryota; Viridiplantae; Streptophyta; Magnoliopsida; Fabales; Fabaceae
Description: Pisum sativum (pea) long non-coding RNA (PSAT_LNC036406)
Source: RNAcentral